UUCUUUGUUGUGGUUGUUAUUGACGUUGUUGUUGAACUGGCAUUGAUUGAUUGUUUGUAAAUACAGGAAUAAUAGAUGAUACUUGAUGAUGGUGUUGACGGGGUUGUGGAUUCCUUCUAACGUGAGGCCUCCUCUGCCUCCCAAUGGAUACUGCAUUAGUCUCGCCUUCUUUCUUUCUGGAAAACCCACUUCUAUACUUCUUCCUAGACGAAACCUCCUCUUUAGACAAUCGUCCCUCUCAGACACCUUCUUCUAACCUCAUCCCGCUGUUUACC
Molecule: long non-coding RNA, 275 nt
Filed under: Lathyrus oleraceus (garden pea)
Lineage: Eukaryota; Viridiplantae; Streptophyta; Magnoliopsida; Fabales; Fabaceae
Description: Pisum sativum (pea) long non-coding RNA (PSAT_LNC024157)
Source: RNAcentral